CUGUGAGCUCGAUGAGUAGGGCGGGACACGUGGUAUCCUGUCUGAAUAUGGGGGGACCAUCCUCCAAGGCUAAAUACUCCUGACUGACCGAUAGUGAACCAGUACCGUGAGGGAAAGGCGAAAAGAACCCCGGCGAGGGGAGUGAAAAAGAACCUGAAACCGUGUACGUACAAGCAGUGGGAGCACGCUUCGGCGUGUGACUGCGUACCUUUUGUAUAAUGGGUCAGCGACUUAUAUUCUGUAGCAAGGUUAACCGAAUAGGGGAGCCGAAGGGAAACCGAGUCUUAACUGGGCGUUAAGUUGCAGGGUAUAGACCCGAAACCCGGUGAUCUAGCCAUGGGCAGGUUGAAGGUUGGGUAACACUAACUGGAGGACCGAACCGACUAAUGUUGAAAAAUUAGCGGAUGACUUGUGGCUGGGGGUGAAAGGCCAAUCAAACCGGGAGAUAGCUGGUUCUCCCCGAAAGCUAUUUAGGUAGCGCCUCGUGAAUUCAUCUCCGGGGGUAGAGCACUGUUUCGGCAAGGGGGUCAUCCCGACUUACCAACCCGAUGCAAACUGCGAAUACCGGAGAAUGUUAUCACGGGAGACACACGGCGGGUGCUAACGUCCGUCGUGAAGAGGGAAACAACCCAGACCGCCAGCUAAGGUCCCAAAGUCAUGGUUAAGUGGGAAACGAUGUGGGAAGGCCCAGACAGCCAGGAUGUUGGCUUAGAAGCAGCCAUCAUUUAAAGAAAGCGUAAUAGCUCACUGGUCGAGUCGGCCUGCGCGGAAGAUGUAACGGGGCUAAACCAUGCACCGAAGCUGCGGCAGCGACRCUAUGYGUUGUUGGGUAGGGGAGCGUUCUGUAAGCCUGYGAAGGUGKSCUGUGAGGSWUGCUGGAGGUAUCAGAAGUGCGAAUGCUGACAUAAGUAACGAUAAAGCGGGUGAAAAGCCCGCUCGCCGGAAGACCAAGGGUUCCUGUCCAACGUUAAUCGGGGCAGGGUGAGUCGACCCCUAAGGCGAGGCCGAAAGGCGUAGUCGAUGGGAAACAGGUUAAUAUUCCUGUACUUGGUGUUACUGCGAAGGGGGGACGGAGAAGGCUAUGUUGGCCGGGCGACGGUUGUCCCGGUUUAAGCGUGUAGGCUGGUUUUCCAGGCAAAUCCGGAAAAUCAAGGCUGAGGCGUGAUGACGAGGCACUACGGUGCUGAAGCAACAAAUGCCCUGCUUCCAGGAAAAGCCUCUAAGCAUCAGGUAACAUCAAAUCGUACCCCAAACCGACACAGGUGGUCAGGUAGAGAAUACCAAGGCGCUUGAGAGAACUCGGGUGAAGGAACUAGGCAAAAUGGUGCCGUAACUUCGGGAGAAGGCACGCUGAUAYGUAGGUGAAGCGACUUGCUCGUGGAGCUGAAAUCAGUCGAAGAUACCAGCUGGCUGCAACUGUUUAUUAAAAACACAGCACUGUGCAAACACGAAAGUGGACGUAUACGGUGUGACGCCUGCCCGGUGCCGGAAGGUUAAUUGAUGGGGUUAGCGGUAACGCGAAGCUCUUGAUCGAAGCCCCGGUAAACGGCGGCCGUAACUAUAACGGUCCUAAGGUAGCGAAAUUCCUUGUCGGGUAAGUUCCGACCUGCACGAAUGGCGUAAUGAUGGCCAGGCUGUCUCCACCCGAGACUCAGUGAAAUUGAACUCGCUGUGAAGAUGCAGUGUACCCGCGGCAAGACGGAAAGACCCCGUGAACCUUUACUAUAGCUUGACACUGAACAUUGAGCCUUGAUGUGUAGGAUAGGUGGGAGGCUUUGAAGUGUGGACGCCAGUCUGCAUGGAGCCGACCUUGAAAUACCACCCUUUAAUGUUUGAUGUUCUAACGUUGGCCCCUGAUCGGGGUUGCGGACAGUGUCUGGUGGGUAGUUUGACUGGGGCGGUCUCCUCCUAAAGAGUAACGGAGGAGCACGAAGGUUGGCUAAUCCUGGUCGGACAUCAGGAGGUUAGUGCAAUGGCAUAAGCCAGCUUGACUGCGAGCGUGACGGCGCGAGCAGGUGCGAAAGCAGGUCAUAGUGAUCCGGUGGUUCUGAAUGGAAGGGCCAUCGCUCAACGGAUAAAAGGUACUCCGGGGAUAACAGGCUGAUACCGCCCAAGAGUUCAUAUCGACGGCGGUGUUUGGCACCUCGAUGUCGGCUCAUCACAUCCUGGGGCUGAAGUAGGUCCCAAGGGUAUGGCUGUUCGCCAUUUAAAGUGGUACGCGAGCUGGGUUUAGAACGUCGUGAGACAGUUCGGUCCCUAUCUGCCGUGGGCGCUGGAGAACUGAGGGGGGCUGCUCCUAGUACGAGAGGACCGGAGUGGACGCAUCACUGGUGUUCGGGUUGUCAUGCCAAUGGCACUGCCCGGUAGCUAAAUGCGGAAGAGAUAAGUGCUGAAAGCAUCUAAGCACGAAACUUGCCCCGAGAUGAGUUCUCCCUGACWCCKUGAGGCU
Molecule: ribosomal RNA, 2449 nt
Filed under: Escherichia coli
Lineage: Bacteria; Pseudomonadati; Pseudomonadota; Gammaproteobacteria; Enterobacterales; Enterobacteriaceae
Description: bacterial LSU rRNA
Rfam family: Bacterial large subunit ribosomal RNA
Source: RNAcentral